This 778-nucleotide long non-coding RNA is filed under the name Marmota monax (woodchuck). The record is from RNAcentral. Lineage: Eukaryota; Metazoa; Chordata; Mammalia; Rodentia; Sciuridae.
GGGAAAUGCAAAUCAAUAAGAUACCUCCUUACACCUGCUAGAAUGGCUAUUAUCAGAAAAGAAAGGGGAAUAUUUGCACAUUAUUGAUGGGAAUGUAAAUUAGUAAAACCAUGGAGAGUUUUCAAAGAAAAGCAGCAUAUGAUCCAGGAACACACUACAGGAUGUGUACCCAAAAGAAAAUGAAGUCAGUACAUCAAACUAGAUCUGCACUCUCGUGUUCACUGCAGCAUUAUUCACAAUAGCCAAGAUAUGAACUCACCCUGAGGGCCCUUCAAUAGAUGGAUUUUCUAAAAUACGGUGUACAUAGACACACAUUGGAAUAGUUUUCAGCCUUAAAAAAGAAGGCAAUCCUGUCAUUUGGGACAACAUGGAUAAACCUGUACAUGACAUCAAAUAAACAAGGCACUGAAAGACAAAUACCUCAUGAUCUCAGAUGUGGAAUUCAAAAAAGGAUGAAUCUGCAAAAGCAGAGAGUAUAGUUGUUUCCAGGAGUGGGGAUGGGGUGUUAGGGAGAUGUUGGUCAGUGGCUACAAGAUUUCAGUUAGACAAGAGAUCUGUUUUUUAACAUGGUAACUUUAGUUAAUAACAAUAUAUUGUACUCUUGAGAAUUGCUAAGAAAUUUUUAAGUGUUCUCACCACACAUGUGCACACACACACACGUUAGUAUAUAUAUUAAUUAGCUCAACUUAGCCAUUCUAUACUAAAUAUGUAUUUCAAAAUAUAUUGUACACAAUAUACCAAUUUUUGUCAAUUAAAAAUAACCAUAAAACUGAUUUAA